CUCAUGGAUCCCAUGGUCAAGGCAACCAGCUGGGAGGACCGACCUGCCCCUGCCUGGAAGUGAUGUGGGGAUUCUCAUGGGGCCCAGCCUCUGGCCUCCCUCCGUCCAGAGGUGCCACUCAGACACCAGCAGUGGUCCACAGCCGUCAGCAGGGAGGGCUGUGUACCUGCAGGGAAAUGGGGGAGACCCGUCUGCAAGGAGGAAGGAAAUGCAGCUUGGGGGCAGCUGAGGAGUUGGAGUUUCCUCCUCCGCAAGAGACUCAAGUACCUGCUGACCCCGAGGGAGCCCAACCGCUGGGCCGUGGAGCGCGAGGGGGCUACGCCGUCCAGCUCCCGCGUCACCGCGAACGGCGUGCUCCUGAAGCCCACCCACAUCGUCGUGGAGACCAUGAUGUGAGCCCGCCCGGCCGCAGGGGCUGCCUGCCUGCUGUUUACUAACCUUAGAUUCUCAUAGGACCAGGUUUACAGAGCUUUACAUUUGCACUAGGAUUUUUUUUUUAAUUGUCACAGAAAAUGUUACUCUGUGUGUGUGUGUGUGUGUGUGUGUGUGUGUGUGUGUGUGUGUGUGUGUGUACGGUAUUGUGCAUAUGUGUACUUUGUUCUGAUUUGGGGAUAUUUUGUACAAAAACCAAAACCCAUGGGCAGAUGUCCGGGGUGAGGCAGAGCUUUCAUACUGAAUUAGAUGUAUUUUAUGGGAACUUGGUAAA
Molecule: long non-coding RNA, 706 nt
Organism: Manis pentadactyla (Chinese pangolin)
Lineage: Eukaryota; Metazoa; Chordata; Mammalia; Pholidota; Manidae
Exons: 2
Source: RefSeq, a predicted model, not a curated record